RNAcentral lists this ribosomal RNA (592 nucleotides) under Algibacter sp. I14B-00951. RNAcentral describes it as "bacterial SSU rRNA". It matches the Rfam family "Bacterial small subunit ribosomal RNA", at positions 95 to 687 of the family's 1533-position model. Lineage: Bacteria; Pseudomonadati; Bacteroidota; Flavobacteriia; Flavobacteriales; Flavobacteriaceae. The record is from RNAcentral.
CCGGCGCACGGGUGCGUAACGCGUAUACAAUCUACCUUUUGCUGAGGAAUAGCCCAGAGAAAUUUGGAUUAAUGCCUCAUAGUAUGCAGACUUCUCAUGGAGAUUGCAUUAAAGGUUACGGCAAAAGAUGAGUAUGCGUCCUAUUAGUUAGUUGGUGUGGUAACGGCACACCAAGACUACGAUAGGUAGGGGCCCUGAGAGGGGGAUCCCCCACACUGGUACUGAGACACGGACCAGACUCCUACGGGAGGCAGCAGUGAGGAAUAUUGGACAAUGGAGGCAACUCUGAUCCAGCCAUGCCGCGUGCAGGAAGACUGCCCUAUGGGUUGUAAACUGCUUUUAUACGGGAAGAAACACCCCCUCGUGAGGGGGCUUGACGGUACCGUAAGAAUAAGGAUCGGCUAACUCCGUGCCAGCAGCCGCGGUAAUACGGAGGAUCCAAGCGUUAUCCGGAAUCAUUGGGUUUAAAGGGUCCGUAGGUGGAUAAUUAAGUCAGAGGUGAAAGUCUGCAGCUCAACUGUAGAAUUGCCUUUGAUACUGGUUAUCUUGAAUUAUUAUGAAGUAGUUAGAAUAUGUAGUGUAGCGGUGAAAU